CAGCCGCCGCGGUAAUACCGGCGGCCCGAGUGGCGGUCACUAUUAUUGGGCUUAAAGCGUCCGUAGCCGGGUUGGGAAGUCCUCCGGGAAAUCUGGCCGCUUAACGGUCAGAAUGCCGGAGGAUACUCCCAGCCUAGGGAGCGGGGGAGGCCGAGGGGAUUCCCGGAGUAGGGGUGAAAUCCUAUAAUCCCGGGAGGACCACCUGUGGCGAAGGCGCUCGGCUGGAACGCGUCCGACGGUGAGGGACGAAGGCCAGGGGAGCAAACCGGAUUAGAUACCCGGGUAGUCCUGGCGGUAAACGAUGCGGACUUUGUGUCGGACAAGCUAUGAGCUUGUCCGGUGCCGGAGGGAAACCGUUAAGUCCGCCGCCUGGGGAGUACGGCCGCAAGGCUGAAACUUAAAGGAAUUGGCGGG
This 414-nucleotide ribosomal RNA is filed under the name uncultured microorganism. Its description in RNAcentral is "bacterial SSU rRNA". It matches the Rfam family "Archaeal small subunit ribosomal RNA", at positions 459 to 872 of the family's 1478-position model. The record is from RNAcentral.